RNAcentral lists this non-coding RNA (44 nucleotides) under Schistosoma bovis. Lineage: Eukaryota; Metazoa; Platyhelminthes; Trematoda; Strigeidida; Schistosomatidae. The record is from RNAcentral. RNAcentral also lists the same sequence under 1 other name.
AUCCAGCUAACGAGUCCGAAAUAGGACAGACGCGCGUCCUGGAU